This is a long non-coding RNA of Salvia splendens (bonfire salvia), 467 nucleotides long. RefSeq lists it as uncharacterized. The record is from RefSeq and is a predicted model, not a curated record. Lineage: Eukaryota; Viridiplantae; Streptophyta; Magnoliopsida; Lamiales; Lamiaceae. The transcript has 2 exons.
AUCUUUCCUAAAUUUUGACCACAAUCAAAGUGAAAUUAAUCACCAAAAAUGACUCUCAAUACACAGCUAUAUAAAUCCUCCUACCCUAAUCUCUUUCCCUCACACAAAUUCACAGCCACUCACAAAAAAAAAACGGCGGAGGGAGCAGUAAAAAGGGAAAAGCCAAAAGCUUCAAUCUUAUUCUGUUUCAAGCCAAUUGUUCUUUUGAAGGUUGAGCGGCGACGAGCGGUUGGCGGUGUUGAGCAAAUUAAAUGAAGAAUUAAACAUUUAGAUAUUUUUUACUAUGAGUGUCGUUGUGUCUUCACACAUGACGUCACUUUUCUCUUGGAUGCUCCCGCUGAAACUCGUUUUACUUAUUGUUGAAUUCUCGAAACUAAUUUGAUUUCGUUUAAAAUCUAAAGACAUGAUAUGUUUUUGGAAUACGUUGAAACCCCGUUAUUUCGAAAUAGAUUAUGAUAAUUGUAUCA